ACGAUGGUAGCUUGCUAUCAGGCGUCGAGCGGCGGACGGGUGAGUAAUGCUUAGGAAUCUGCCCAGUAGUGGGGGACAACAGUCGGAAACGGCUGCUAAUACCGCAUACGCCCUACGGGGGAAAGCAGGGGAUCUUCGGACCUUGCGCUAUUGGAUGAGCCUAAGUCGGAUUAGCUAGUUGGUGAGGUAAAGGCUCACCAAGGCCACGAUCCGUAGCUGGUUUGAGAGGAUGAUCAGCCACAUCGGGACUGAGACACGGCCCGAACUCCUACGGGAGGCAGCAGUGGGGAAUAUUGGACAAUGGGGGCAACCCUGAUCCAGCCAUGCCGCGUGUGUGAAGAAGGCUUUCGGGUUGUAAAGCACUUUCAGCGAGGAGGAAGGCUCUAAAGCUAAUACCUUUAGGGAUUGACGUUACUCGCAGAAGAAGCACCGGCUAACUCCGUGCCAGCAGCCGCGGUAAUACGGAGGGUGCAAGCGUUAAUCGGAAUUACUGGGCGUAAAGCGCGCGUAGGUGGUUGAGUAAGCGAGAUGUGAAAGCCCCGGGCUUAACCUGGGAACGGCAUUUCGAACUGCUCGGCUAGAGUGUGGUAGAGGGUAGUGGAAUUUCCUGUGUAGCGGUGAAAUGCGUAGAUAUAGGAAGGAACACCAGUGGCGAAGGCGGCUACCUGGACCAACACUGACACUGAGGUGCGAAAGCGUGGGGAGCAAACAGGAUUACAUACCCUGGUAGUCCACGCCGUAAACGAUGUCAACUAGCCGUUGGGGAUCUUGAAUCCUUAGUGGCGCAGCUAA
This 792-nucleotide ribosomal RNA is filed under the name Marinobacter sp. RNAcentral's name for it is "bacterial SSU rRNA". It matches the Rfam family "Bacterial small subunit ribosomal RNA", at positions 70 to 855 of the family's 1533-position model. The record is from RNAcentral. Lineage: Bacteria; Pseudomonadati; Pseudomonadota; Gammaproteobacteria; Pseudomonadales; Marinobacteraceae.